AAGAAUCGCCCCGUUUUUUGAAAUGGGUUCUAUUCCCAAACCGUGUAUACAUACCUUUGUUGCUUUGGCAGGCCGCCUUUUAGGCGUCGGCUUCGGCUGACUGCGCCCGCCAGAGGACCCCAAACCCUGAAUAUUAGUGUCGUCUGAGUACUAUAUAAUAGUUA
RNAcentral lists this unclassified non-coding RNA (164 nucleotides) under uncultured Meliniomyces. Its description in RNAcentral is "sequence contains ITS1". The record is from RNAcentral. Lineage: Eukaryota; Fungi; Ascomycota; Leotiomycetes; Helotiales; Helotiaceae.